GACGAACGCUGGCGGCGUGCUUAACACAUGCAAGUCGAGCGGUGAGGCUCCUCCGGGGGUACAAGUGCGGAACAAGGGAGUAUAACACGUGAGACCUCCGCCCAUCACUUCGGUAAAACUCCGGGAAACCGACGCUUAUACCGAAUACGACCAUUCCCGGCAGCGGCUGGUGGUGGAAAGUUCCGGCGGUGAGGGAUGCGCUCGCGCCCUAUCAGCUUGUUGGUGGGGUAACGCCCCACCAAGGCUUCGACGGGUAGCCGGCCUGAGAGGGUGACCGGCCACACUGGGACUGAGACACGGCCCAGACUCCUACGGGAGGCAGCAGUGGGGAAUAUUGAACAAUGGGCGAAAGCCUGACCCAGCAACGCCGCGUGGGGGAUGACGGCCUUCGGGUUGUAAACCUCUUUCAGCAGGGACGAAGCGCAAGUGACGGUACCUGCAGAAGAAGCACCGGCCAACUACGUG
This 465-nucleotide ribosomal RNA is filed under the name uncultured bacterium. RNAcentral's name for it is "partial 16S ribosomal RNA". It matches the Rfam family "Bacterial small subunit ribosomal RNA", at positions 28 to 507 of the family's 1533-position model. The record is from RNAcentral.